Molecule: ribosomal RNA, 504 nt
Filed under: uncultured bacterium
Lineage: Bacteria
Description: partial 16S ribosomal RNA
Rfam family: Bacterial small subunit ribosomal RNA
Source: RNAcentral
ACUCAAAGGAAUAGACGGGGGCCCGCACAAGCGGUGGAGUAUGUGGUUUAAUUCGACGCAACGCGAAGAACCUUACCAGGGCUUGACAUCCUCUGACGACCCAAGAGAUUGGGAGUUCUGGCUUCGGUCAGACAGAGAGACAGGUGGUGCAUGGUUGUCGUCAGCUCGUGUCGUGAGAUGUUGGGUUAAGUCCCGCAACGAGCGCAACCCUUAUCUUUAGUUGCCAUCAGGUAAUGCUGGGCACUCUAGAGAGACUGCCGGUGACAAACCGGAGGAAGGUGGGGAUGACGUCAAAUCAUCAUGCCCCUUAUGUCCUGGGCUACACACGUACUACAAUGGCCGGUACAAAGGGCGGCGAAGGGGUGACCUGGAGCAAAUCCCAACAAAACCGGUCUCAGUUCGGAUUGUAGUCUGCAACUCGACUACAUGAAGUCGGAAUCGCUAGUAAUCGCAGGUCAGCAUACUGCGGUGAAUACGUUCCCGGGCCUUGUACACACCGCCCGU